AGAGUUUGAUCAUGGCUCAGAUUGAACGCUGGCGGCAGGCCUAACACAUGCAAGUCGAACGGUAACAGGAAGAAGCUUGCUUCUUUGCUGACGAGUGGCGGACGGGUGAGUAAUGUCUGGGAAACUGCCUGAUGGAGGGGGAUAACUACUGGAAACGGUAGCUAAUACCGCAUAACGUCGCAAGACCAAAGAGGGGGACCUUCGGGCCUCUUGCCAUCGGAUGUGCCCAGAUGGGAUUAGCUAGUAGGUGGGGUAACGGCUCACCUAGGCGACGAUCCCUAGCUGGUCUGAGAGGAUGACCAGCCACACUGGAACUGAGACACGGUCCAGACUCCUACGGGAGGCAGCAGUGGGGAAUAUUGCACAAUGGGCGCAAGCCUGAUGCAGCCAUGCCGCGUGUAUGAAGAAGGCCUUCGGGUUGUAAAGUACUUUCAGCGGGGAGGAAGGGAGUAAAGUUAAUACCUUUGCUCAUUGACGUUACCCGCAGAAGAAGCACCGGCUAACUCCGUGCCAGCAGCCACGGUAAUACGGAGGGUGCAAGCGUUAAUCGGAAUUACUGGGCGUAAAGCGCACGCAGGCGGUUUGUUAAGUCAGAUGUGAAAUCCCCGGGCUCAACCUGGGAACUGCAUCUGAUACUGGCAAGCUUGAGUCUCGUAGAGGGGGGUAGAAUUCCAGGUGUAGCGGUGAAAUGCGUAGAGAUCUGGAGGAAUACCGGUGGCGAAGGCGGCCCCCUGGACGAAGACUGACGCUCAGGUGCGAAAGCGUGGGGAGCAAACAGGAUUAGAUACCCUGGUAGUCCACGCCGUAAACGAUGUCGACUUGGAGGUUGUGCCCUUGAGGCGUGGCUUCCGGAGCUAACGCGUUAAGUCGACCGCCUGGGGAGUACGGCCGCAAGGUUAAAACUCAAAUGAAUUGACGGGGGCCCGCACAAGCGGUGGAGCAUGUGGUUUAAUUCGAUGCAACGCGAAGAACCUUACCUGGUCUUGACAUCCACGGAAGUUUUCAGAGAUGAGAAUGUGCCUUCGGGAACCGUGAGACAGGUGCUGCAUGGCUGUCGUCAGCUCGUGUUGUGAAAUGUUGGGUUAAGUCCCGCAACGAGCGCAACCCUUAUCCUUUGUUGCCAGCGGUCCGGCCGGGAACUCAAAGGAGACUGCCAGUGAUAAACUGGAGGAAGGUGGGGAUGACGUCAAGUCAUCAUGGCCCUUACGACCAGGGCUACACACGUGCUACAAUGGCGCAUACAAAGAGAAGCGACCUCGCGAGAGCAAGCGGACCUCAUAAAGUGCGUCGUAGUCCGGAUUGGAGUCUGCAACUCGACUCCAUGAAGUCGGAAUCGCUAGUAAUCGUGGAUCAGAAUGCCACGGUGAAUACGUUCCCGGGCCUUGUACACACCGCCCGUCACACCAUGGGAGUGGGUUGCAAAAGAAGUAGGUAGCUUAACCUUCGGGAGGGCGCUUACCACUUUGUGAUUCAUGACUGGGGUGAAGUCGUAACAAGGUAACCGUAGGGGAACCUGCGGUUG
RNAcentral lists this ribosomal RNA (1522 nucleotides) under metagenome. Its description in RNAcentral is "bacterial SSU rRNA". It matches the Rfam family "Bacterial small subunit ribosomal RNA". The record is from RNAcentral.